GAUAUGGUGGAUUAGUGGUUAGCAUGUUUGCCUUGCACCUCCACGGUUGAGGGUUCAAUUCCCACCUUUGCCU
Molecule: non-coding RNA, 73 nt
Organism: Ameiurus melas (black bullhead)
Lineage: Eukaryota; Metazoa; Chordata; Actinopteri; Siluriformes; Ictaluridae
Source: the annotation of a GenBank genome assembly